Molecule: ribosomal RNA, 555 nt
Filed under: uncultured Glomus
Lineage: Eukaryota; Fungi; Glomeromycota; Glomeromycetes; Glomerales; Glomeraceae
Description: SSU rRNA
Rfam family: Eukaryotic small subunit ribosomal RNA
Source: RNAcentral
UUGGAGGGCAAGUCUGGUGCCAACAGCCGCGGUAAUUCCAGCUCCAAUAGCGUAUAUUAAAGUUGUUGCAGUUAAAAAGCUCGUAGUUGAAUUUCGGGAUUGGCGUGUCGGUCGUGCCUUACGGGGUAUGAACUGGCGUCGUCGAUUUCCCACCUUCUGGAGAAUCACGAUGCCCUUAAUUGGGUGUCGUGUGGAACCAGGACCUUUACCUUGAAAAAAUUAGAGUGUUUAAAGCAGGCAUUUUGCUCGAAUACAUUAGCAUGGAAUAAUAAAAUAGGACGGCUUGGUUCUAUUUUGUUGGUUUCUAGGAUCACCGUAAUGAUUAAUAGGGAUAGUUGGGGGCAUUAGUAUUCAAUUGUCAGAGGUGAAAUUCUUGGAUUUAUUGAAGACUAACUACUGCGAAAGCAUUUGCCAAGGAUGUUUUCAUUAAUCAAGAACGAAAGUUAGGGGAUCGAAGACGAUCAGAUACCGUCGUAGUCUUAACCAUAAACUAUGCCGACUAGGAAUCAGACGAUGUUAAUUUUUUAAUGACUCGUUUGGCACCUUACGGGAAAC